RNAcentral lists this ribosomal RNA (4722 nucleotides) under Triticum aestivum (bread wheat). RNAcentral describes it as "partial small subunit ribosomal RNA". Lineage: Eukaryota; Viridiplantae; Streptophyta; Magnoliopsida; Poales; Poaceae. The record is from RNAcentral.
GAGCGCAGCCCAGACUCAAAAAAAGAAAAGCCCAACAUAACGAGGUGUGGGCCUAGGCAAAGAGGAAAAAAAUCCUUACUAGGCAAAAGUGGGUGUACUAAAAGACUUAACAAAAAAACCUACCACCAGCCGUCGGGUAGGGGAUAGUCUUCUCUUCUCUCUCCGCCUCCGCCACCUCCCCCCAGUGGUGGCAGCCACUCGUCGUCGUUCCCCAAUCGACCUCCAGUACCUCGCGCCCUUCGACGGCGUCGUGUUGGGACCCUUCAACCUCGGAUCGACAGCACCUCCUCGUCCCCCCUCCUCUCUCCCUCCAUAACUCUUCUCCCGCCGCCUCUAUAAAACGGUCAGGGCGGUGGUCGUUCCAAAGCGGCCACUACAGCCUUGGCAAGCAGCCGCGGCAAGCUCGGCCUCCCAACACCUAAGAACCCCCGUCUCUAGUAGCUCACCUACGAUACUUGGGUUGAUGCUGGGAUUACUGUCAGGGGGUUUGUGACUCUCAACACUACUCUCGUAACGUAUAUCACUACUUCUUAGACAUAGAUCCUCCUUCUUCAAUAAUCUUCUACGAAAUAAGCAAAAAAAUCCUUCCUCCGUUAGUUUAGUGAGCUCUAAAAGGUUUUAAGACCUUCUUACAGCUGGAAUUUUGACUCGUUUUAAUCUCCGUUUUCCAAUACCCCCGUCCCUCCGUACACACGUCGCAGAAAAGGUGUUUUAUGAAGCAUCUAUAGAACUCCCCAUACAGGUCACCGGCCUUCCUACAGUAGAGUUUUAUGCCCAAACUCGGAGAAGACUUUAAACUCUUUUGACCAUAGGGUAGUGCUAAACAGGCGAUAUAACAGCUUACACAUCUGUGUCACAGUAGAGUUUAGUAACAACGACUACUCUUCUAGUAAGGAUAGAGUUUCCUAAGUCAAGGAACACACAACCCGGACGAUCUGUCACCACUAAAUCGCUGUGUUCUGUUCCUAUCACCCUCCUUGAAGUAAAACAGAGCCAAGUCGAACUCUCUUUACGGUUUGUAAUGAAAGAAACCUCUGUACGAGUAUAGAAGACUAAAAGUGUCGCUCCUUCCGUGAAAGUAUACGAAGUACCACUAGCGUUACAGCACGAAGGAAAAAGGUAGAAGGUCGCUAGUCUAAGUGUAACUCAAAAACUGGAACGAACAAUUAGGUUUCGCGUGUUCACCAAAACUAAAGACACGCGAACACAUACUAACCUAUGAGUGACCGUAGUUGUUCAAACACUAAAGACCGUCUCAUGGACCGUCCUUUGGUCUCCACAAAACUGAAAACGAGCAUGACGUAGUGCCAAUCAGAACAAAUUCACAAAAAAGCGUAGGCAAACAAAAACAAAACAUACAAGACACAGAGGAAAAAAGAAAAAGAAAAGAUAACCCCUUCAUGUCUACGUAAAUUGAUUUUCGAUAACCCCUUACGCUUCCAAUUCUAUCGAAUAUGUUAACUAUUCUUGUCUGACGAGUUCACAAGGACCUUGAUUUGGCCCUAAUCACAGUAGUUAUAUUUAACCCAAACAUAAACGAUCCGUAAAAAAAGUAGUUAAAGGUCUUCGAUUUGAAAUUACGGACCUUAGAUGUAGUUUUAACUUAGUCAAUCAGGGAUUAGUCGAUUCGAAUUUAAAUCGUCAAGUUGAUGACGUUACCUGAGAAAUCUCAAGUCUAAAACAUAACAAUUUCCUACAAUCAAUUUAUACUUUUAUCAGGUACUAUCCAACAGUACAGUUACUUCUCGGGUUCCAGUCUUCUCAUUGUUCAAGCCCUCCUCGUACUUGAUACGAACACCCGCAUCUCUAUUAUACUGUUGAUAAUAUAAGUUAGGUACCAGUUAUUGUUCAAUAUUAUUUUUAUUUUUUAAUCCACAGACAGUUGAUAUUUUAAAUAAUUUAACUUAAGUCACGCAUCACUAUUGAAAUAGCUAUAGGCCAAGUUAGGUACCGGUUAUUGUUCUUUUAGUCACAGUUGAUACUUAACUAAUUUAACCGAAGUCAUGUUAUCUAUCUUGAAACCAAAAUAUAUUGUUUAGCUCAUAGAAUUGCUCGCUUACACUCCUUAGAACAAGACCCCGCUGGCCAGGAAAACAGCAAGUUAGACGACAUUCGUACACGCCACUACUACCCAUCCUUUUCGCCUGGUUCGAUAUUUAGUAAGUAUUGUUUAACUAAUUCAACGGAGGCCAAGUACCUCUUCUGAACUAAAAGAACCAGUAGUAUCAUCUCAAUCUCGAGGGUUACUAGUCAACGACGUCUCGACUCAACAUGUCAACCUUAAGCCACGUCUUGUCAAUCGAAUCUUGAUACCCGGUAACUAAAUCCAUAUCCUAUUAUUAAACGUACAGAAGAGAUGUACAAAUACAAAUAGUACAGGAAAUUUUGACGUGCUUCAUUAUAAUACAGCUGUCAAUUCCAAGACGUGACUGAACGUUGUGUAUAUUCAGUAUCGAGUUCUUGAAAGUCUGUCUGACGAUCUGUAUGACCGUUGGUUUCCCAAAUUAACGUUGAACCUUCGUGUUUUUUAAGAGAUCUCACGGUCAAAAUUUUAGUAAUGGUACGUGUUAACGUACAGUAAUAAGUUAUGACAUGUGUUUAUAUUGAACACCGAUUACUCAGUCUUUAGCUUAACUUGAUUUUUACGUAUACGGAUCCUUAAUUAAUUACCAAGUUACAAAUAUAUUGAAAUACACGUUCAUGUAUACAUAUUGAAAGUAAAGUAUUAGUGGAGGUAUCUCCUGAUUAUCUUAUCGUUAGAUGUUGACUUAAGACGUUUCGUACUAAUUCAUUGACCGUUUAUAUCCGACCUGUGUACUUUUGAAGUCAUUGUCUUGUACCACUAAGUAAUCUCUAUACGUAUACCCGUUCCGUAACGCUACGUAAGUCGCAUACCCCAGAAGGCGAAUCGACGCUCCAGACGCAAAGCGACUCGGGCGUUACGGAAGGAGAGUAGACCACCAUACGAGACGGACGCACGAGAAGCUGCCCGCAAGUAGAGAACGGAGACGAGUUGACCAUAUAAAAAUGAGCGACGGGAAGAUACCCGCAAGUAGAGAACGGAGAGGAAACAACAGUCUAAAACAGACCGUCGCGAAACCGAGCUUAAGGAUAGAAGUUAUCAAAAUAAAACAGAUCUACGAGAAGCUGCGCGUAAGUAAAGAAGAGAAACGAGCCCACAAUCCGAUAGAGCGGAACGUAACCUUCGUUAUAGAAGUCGUGGUGACCACAAGGAACUCCACAACAUCCUAAAAGACGUACGGGUCACACAUUAAACCAUUUAGGUACUGGGUGUAAACUUCGUUAUAUGGGUCGUGUAACAAUCUGAAUUAUUUAGAUCUAGAUAUCUACUGGUAUGAAGUUACCAUUUUUGUAGCACACUUUCCCAUUUAUGGUAAACUUCAAGGGUGUACGAGGGGACCGAGGUUACGAUAGUACCAUGACCGACAUCCUUGGUAACAUCGAUUAACCCACCUGCUAAGUGUAUACUUGUAAGGUAUACUGACAAGGUGUUGUUUUUAAUUCUAAUGUUCUACCAGUGGAAGUUUAGUAGUUAAUUCUGUAAUACAGAUGUGUAACAAUCUUUUAUGUGUAGAGAAAAAGGGAAUAGGAGGCUGUAGAAUAUUCUUUUACAACGUACAUAUUACUAAUUACUGGAAACUUGGAAGUCGUGGCACCAACCCGUUUUAUGUUAUGACAUCAUUAUUUACCACGUCCCUAUCACUAAUUCAGGGAAACUUUGAAGUUGUUGUACCAAGUAUUUGUUUCUUUUUAUUUAUUAUUAAUGGAUGUAUGCAUCAAAGAGGAGAUCAACGAUUUUUUUGCAUCAAAGAGGAGGUACGUGUGUAAUAACAGAAGAGGCCUGUAGAUUUAAAAUUACUUAAAGAUGUUCAAACGAACCACUCCAACGUAAAGAAUAACGGGUUCAACUUUCAAGGACCUCUUGUCUGGGAGCUACAAGAACCCUUCUUGCUCUCUUCGUGCCGGGUGGUCGCCACCUAUACGUACACUGAACACAUUAAUGUUGGAUAGACCGGAUACUUAACGUCUUUAAUACUUUUAGCAAAACACUCUUGAUUUAUUUAACUAUUACGUAUAUAGUCCUGAUACUUCUAAGUGUUCUUUCUACCGUGGUGUAGCCUCUUUAUCUACCGAAACAGUUUUCCACUUGAGUGGAGGUCCACUACUUUCGCUCCAACUGUACAACUACUUGAGUACACUGGAGGUACCACUGGUACACACUAGAGGUCGCACUAGAGGGUCGAUACAUAGCGGACACGAACUACCACUCAUGAACUCCGUCCCCACAAGCACUUACUGGUUAGGACAUUGUCUUCGACAAAUUUAUGCAUGAGGAUGGUUUAUACCACCUCUACAAACUUCCGCAAUAGUUAGAACAGCCACGAAAGGAAUAGAACACGGACUACAAAUCCUACAUUAUUAAUCCGAUUAAUAACAAUCCUAAGAUGCCAAAAAAGGUACAUAUCAUGAAAACGUGAAUGCUCCCACCCUCCUUCCGAUUAAUACAAAUCAUGCAUUAGUCCCACGCUCCCACCCUGCUUUCGAUGCUCCCACGACUAAAAAACCCAAACAAAGGUAUAAUUGUAAUCCUUGGAAACCCAAACAAAGGUAUAAUUAUAAUCCUUAGAAACCCAAACAAGGUACAUACUGAAACUGCGACCCUCAUCUCUGCGCACGCUAACCAAAUCCCAAAAAAAAGCG